RNAcentral lists this ribosomal RNA (467 nucleotides) under uncultured bacterium. Its description in RNAcentral is "partial 16S ribosomal RNA". It matches the Rfam family "Bacterial small subunit ribosomal RNA", at positions 28 to 507 of the family's 1533-position model. The record is from RNAcentral.
GACGAACGCUGGCGGCGUGCUUAACACAUGCAAGUCGAACGGAAAGGCCUCUUUCGGGGGGUACUCGAGUGGCGAACGGGUGAGCAACACGUGAGUAACCUGCCCUUGACUUUGGGAUAACUUCAGGAAACUGGGGCUAAUACCGGAUAGGAGCUCCUGCUGCAUGGUGGGGGUUGGAAAGUUUCGGCGGUUGGGGAUGGACUCGCGGCUUAUCAGCUUGUUGGUGGGGUAGUGGCUUACCAAGGCUUUGACGGGUAGCCGGCCUGAGAGGGUGACCGGCCACAUUGGGACUGAGAUACGGCCCAGACUCCUACGGGAGGCAGCAGUGGGGAAUAUUGCACAAUGGGUGGAAGCCUGAUGCAGCAACGCCGUGUGCGGGAUGACGGCCUUCGGGUUGUAAACCGCUUUCGCUCAUGACGAAGCUUUGUGUGACGGUAGUGGGUAAAGAAGCACCGGCUAACUACGUG